This 460-nucleotide ribosomal RNA is filed under the name uncultured bacterium. RNAcentral's name for it is "partial 16S ribosomal RNA". It matches the Rfam family "Bacterial small subunit ribosomal RNA", at positions 338 to 795 of the family's 1533-position model. The record is from RNAcentral.
CCUACGGGAGGCAGCAGUGAGGAAUAUUGGUCAAUGGGCGAAAGCCUGAACCAGCCAAGUCGCGUGAGGGAUGACGGCUCUAUGGAUCGUAAACUUCUUUUAUAAGGGAAUAAAGCGCGGCACGUGUCCUUUUUUGCAUGUACCUUAUGAAUAAGGAUCGGCUAACUCCGUGCCAGCAGCCGCGGUAAUACGGAGGAUCCGAGCGUUAUCCGGAUUUAUUGGGUUUAAAGGGUGCGUAGGUGGGCUUUUAAGUCAGGUGUGAAAGUUUGUGGCUCAACCAUAGAAUUGCCGUUGAUACUGGGAGGCUUGAGUAUGGUUGAGGUAGGCGGAAUUCGUGGUGUAGCGGUGAAAUGCUUAGAUAUCACGAAGAACCCCGAUUGCGAAGGCAGCUUACUAAGCUGUGACUGACGUUGAUGCACGAAAGCGUGGGGAUCAAACAGGAUUAGAUACCCGUGUAGUC